This 458-nucleotide ribosomal RNA is filed under the name uncultured bacterium. Its description in RNAcentral is "partial 16S ribosomal RNA". It matches the Rfam family "Bacterial small subunit ribosomal RNA", at positions 30 to 507 of the family's 1533-position model. The record is from RNAcentral.
AACGAACGCUGGCGGCAGGCUUAACACAUGCAAGUCGAACGCACCUUUCGGGGUGAGUGGCAGACGGGUGAGUAACGCGUGGGAAUCUACCCUUCUCUACGGGAUAGCUCCGGGAAACUGGAAUUAAUACCGUAUACGUCCUGAGGGAGAAAGAUUUAUCGGGGCAGGAUGAGCCCGCGUUGGAUUAGCUAGUUGGUGGGGUAAAGGCCUACCAAGGCGACGAUCCAUAGCUGGUCUAAGAGGAUGAUCAGCGACAAUGGGACUGAGACACGGCCCAAAAUGGUACGAGAGGAAGCAGUAGGGCAUAUUGCGGAAGGGGCGAAGGCUGGAAGGAGAAACGGCGCGUGAGUGAUGAAGGUCUUCGGAUGGGAAAACGCUGGGAUUCGGGAAGAACAAAUGUGGCAGUAACUAUGCACGGCUGGACGGUACCUAAUAAGAAAGCGACGGCUAACUACGUG